Molecule: ribosomal RNA, 339 nt
Filed under: uncultured bacterium
Lineage: Bacteria
Description: bacterial SSU rRNA
Rfam family: Bacterial small subunit ribosomal RNA
Source: RNAcentral
GACGAACGCUGGCGGCGUGCUUAACACAUGCAAGUCGAGCGGUAAGGCCCUUUCGGGGGUACACGAGCGGCGAACGGGUGAGGAAUACAUGGGUAACCUACCCUCGAGUGGGGAAUAACUAGCCGAAAGGUUAGCUAAUACCGCGUACGCUCCUUGGACUUCGGUUCAGGGAGGAAAGCGAUACCGUGGGUAUCGCGCUCUUGGUUGGGCUCAUGUCCUAUCAGCUUGUUGGUGAGGUAACGGCUCACCAAGGCUUCGACGGGUAGCUGGUCUGAGAGGACGAUCAGCCACACUGGCACUGCGACACGGGCCAGACUCCUACGGGAGGCAGCAGUAAGG